GGCCUUACCAUAUGAUGUUGUUUGAAUAUUUGUCCCCUUCAAAUCUCCUGUUGAAAUGUAAUCCCCAGGGUUGGAGGUGGAGCCUGGUGGAGGUGUUUGCUUAUGAGGGUGGACCCUUCAUGAACGGCUUAGUGCCAUCCCCUUGGUGACUAGUGAGUUCUAGCUCUGAAUUUAUGUGAGAUCUGGUUGUUUAAAACAGUGUGGUACCUCCCCACUCGCUCUCUUGCUGCUGCUCUCACCCUGUGAGAUGCCUGCUCUCUCUUCACCUUCUGCCAUGAGUGGAAGCUUCCUGAGGCCAUCACCAGAAGCAGGCACUAUGCACCAUGAUUCCUGUACUGUCUGCAGAACCGUGAGCCAAUGAAACCUCUUUUCUUUAUAAUUUACCCAGCACAGGUUUUUUUUUUUUUUUUUUUUUUUUUUUUUUUUUUUUUUGUUUUUGUUUUUUUUUUUAUAGUAAUACAAGAACAGCCUAACACAUCAUCCCUGAAUAAGAACAACCUCUUGGGUAUGUUUUUAAAAAUCCCAGCAUCUGGCACAGUACCUGUUACAUAGAAGGAACCACAGGCAAUUACAGCGGGAUAACCAAAUGGAGAGGACAGGUGACUCCCUGAAAAACAGCAAUCAGACCAAGACCUGCAGAAGAAAGGUGAACUUCACCCAGAAACCCCAACCCGGACACAGAGCAGAGAUAAGGCGGGUGAGAGUGCCUCAGGAGGAAUGUUAACCAGAUUCCAGAAGCCUGCCAGUCAGUCGUGCUGCUGGAGUGCAGUGGUGCAGUCACGGCUCACCGCAGCUUCAACCUUCUGGACUCGAGUGAUUCUCCCACCUCAGCCUCCCCAGACGUGGAGACCACAGAACGUUAUUCCACAGAAGCAAGGACUUGGUCUUCUUCAUUCACUGCUGCAUCCACAGUGCUCAGGACAGCGCCUGUGCAGGAACCCCUCCUGAAUGACUGGCAUUUGCACACAGCCUUCUCCACUGCACCACGUGGACACAAGCAGUGUAGGGGAUGCAGCGUCCAUCUGCCCCCUGCUGCUCCUGUCGCAGCCUUCUGCCUUCAGGACCCACCAUUUAAGCCUCUUCUUCCUUCUCUACCUCUCCACUGCCUCAAUCCAGAGAAACUUUAUCCAGCCUGGGGCAGGGCUGUCUGGCUCUGACUGAUCACAUAUUCUCCUAAAUCUAUUAUUUAUGCCUAAACCGUAUGCCCUGAGUCUUUCAGGCCUGAGGCUUCUUAUGCUCAAAAGCCGGGCUUUGAAAUACAGAAAGCUUCUUCCCCCCUUAAAACUAUGGUCUCUGCUGUGAGUUUCCAGAAGCCUAUUUUGUAACACAGAAGUGAAAGCUUGAUUCCUUUUACUGUAUUUUGCAAUGUCAUCACUUCACUAAUGCAAGGCAUGUGAAUGUCCCUGCGGCUGCCUAUACCAGAGGGCAGGCCAAGGGGUUAGUAAGUAGGGUGAGGUUCGUGGAUCAAAAUAUUAUUUGUCACAUACUCUGUAGUACAGGAACUCUCACUAAGUAUUGCAAGUGUAAAUGACCUUGGAAGCACUUUCUAGUUGGAGCCACAGCAUUGGCAAACAAAGCUAAAAAUAAUAAACCCAGUGUUGCUGGGGACGUGGGAAACACCAUGCAUUAGGGAUGCUGCACUCCUUUGCUCCGAUAUUUCUGGAAAGCAGUCUGGUAAUAGUGUAUCAAGAACUAUCAACAUUAUCCCCUGAUGAUGCAUUGGUAAUACCACUUUGGGAGAUCUACUCCAUAAGCAUAAGCCAAAAGAAGCAAAAGAAAAACCAUAAUCUUGUUCAAAGAUGAUCAUGGCAUUAUUUAGAAACAAUGAAAAUAUCCCAGACAGGAAAGUGGUUAAGCACUAUGAUCUGUCAAGACAAUGGGAUAGUAGCUAAAUCUUUGGGCUUAGGGUAGGAUAACUACUUUAACAAAUAACCACAAACCUUGGUGGCUUAGCACAAUAAAGUUUAUUUCUUACACACAUUGCAACUCAAUGUAGGUCAGUUGGGGAGACAGGUUUCCGUAUGCCAUCACUCAGGGACCUAGGCUUCUGUGUUUAUUGGCUCCACCAUUUCCUCCCUGGGUCUGAUAGAUCCAUGAGGGAAGAGAGUGAGAACAGAGGAUUGCAAGGGAGGUUUCACGAGCCAGAUUCAGAGGUCUGGAGGCAACAUUACUUCUACCCACAUUCUAGGAGUCAGAACGCAGUCACAUGGCCACAUCUAACUACAAGGGAGGCUGGGAAAUGUAGUCUUGCUAUAAGCCCGGGGUGAAAGGGGAAUUGUCUGAUGAACACAUAGCAGUGAUUGCCACACUGUCAACAAGUUACAUAUGUUGACUAUGCUGACACAUGAGCACUUAAAUAUUAAAUCAUAUUAAAUAGACAAAGCAAAACACAGAAACACUAAUUAGGACUGAUUACUAAUAACUGUAUACUUGCAAUUAUGUAUACUGACCAACUCAGAAGUGAUUUUAAAGUAUUGUGGGCUUUGUAGUUGUAUGUUUUGUCCUUACUGUAAAAAGAAAAAUUCACAGGGCAGAUAAAACUGUGGUUAUGGAUUCAUGUGACCAGAUGUGGAAUUGCAUUAUGGUGUUUACCUUUUUGAAACUUUUUCAUUGAAAACAUAGAAGCUUGUUUGCAGCAACAUGGAUGAACCCGGAGGUCAUUGUGCUAAGUGAAAUAAGCUAGAUAUGGAAGGACAAAUACUGUAUGAUCUCACGCAUAUGUGGAAUCUAAAAAAGUUGAACUCAUUGAGGUGGAGAGUAGAACAGCAGUUGCCAGGGGGUGGGGGCUGGAGAAAACAGGGAGACGUGCUCAAAGGGUUCAAUGUUAGUUAUAAGAUGACCAAGUGCUGAAAAUCUAAUGGACAGAUGGUAAUGGAUGUAUUAAUUAAUUUGAUCGUGGUUAUCAUUAUACAAUGUCUACAUAUAUCAAAUCAUCACAUUGUAGACCUUGAGUAUAUUCAGUCUCUGUUAGUUAAAUAUUUUAAAAUAAAAAAUUUAAAAACAUAAA
RNAcentral lists this long non-coding RNA (3007 nucleotides) under Macaca mulatta (Rhesus monkey). RNAcentral describes it as "lncRNA (ENSMMUG00000060271.1)". The record is from RNAcentral. Lineage: Eukaryota; Metazoa; Chordata; Mammalia; Primates; Cercopithecidae.